This 481-nucleotide ribosomal RNA is filed under the name uncultured bacterium. RNAcentral's name for it is "partial 16S ribosomal RNA". It matches the Rfam family "Bacterial small subunit ribosomal RNA", at positions 28 to 501 of the family's 1533-position model. The record is from RNAcentral.
GACGAACGCUGGCGGCGUGCUUAACACAUGCAAGUCGAACGGUGAAAGCGGAGCUUGCUCCGCUGGAUCAGUGGCGAACGGGUGAGGAACACGUGGGCAACCUGCCCCUGACUUCGGGAUAACUCCUCGAAAGAGGUGCUAAUACCGGAUACGAAUCCUGCAGGCAUCUGCGGGAUUGGAAAGUUUUUCGGUCAGGGAUGGGCCCGCGGCCUAUCAGCUUGUUGGUGAGGUAGUGGCUCACCACGGCGACGACGGGUAGCCGGCCUGAGAGGACGAUCAGCCUCACUGGAACUUAGACACGGUCCAGACUCCUACGGGAGGCAGCAGUGGGGAAUCUUGCACAAUGGGCGACAGCCUGAUGCAGCAAUGCCGCGUGAGGGAAGACGGCCUUCGGGUUGUAAACCUCUUUCAGUUGGGAAGAAGGGUGCACGGUGAACAGCCGACGCACUUGACGGUACCUUCAGAAGAAGCUCCGGCUAAC